Molecule: long non-coding RNA, 1835 nt
Filed under: Homo sapiens (human)
Lineage: Eukaryota; Metazoa; Chordata; Mammalia; Primates; Hominidae
Description: HSALNT0308859
Source: RNAcentral
UUUCAGGCGGCCUCCUGAGAAAUGUUUGCAAUUGUAAGGCGUCUCUCUCAUCCAGGUUUACCCAGAUUCGCAAACUAUGGCGACAAACAACCAUAGCAGAAGCAUGUCCGGAUUAUUUCACAUAUAUCACAAAAUCCUGCAAAGGGUCUGUCCCCAUUGGAUCACCUCCCAUCACGCCACACACGACGUGAAUGACUUCGUGCUUCUCCAUACCUGCAUUGAUCUCUGGGUCCAUUGCCAGUUAUAAACCUCCAAGGGCAAUAGCCAUGAGGUGAUGUACAGUCAAGCAUCACUUAAUAACCAGGAUACAUUCUGAGAAAUUUGUCGUUAGGCAAUUUUUUCAUUGCACGAACCUCACAGAGUGUACUUACACUAACCUAGAUAGUAGCAUCCAGUAAACACCUGGGCUAUAUGGUCUAGCCUAUUGCUCCUAGGCUACAAACCUGUAUAGCAUGUUACUGUACUGAAUAUGUAGGCACUUGUAACACAAUGGUAAGUGUUUUUGUAUCUAAACAUAUCUAAACAUAGGAGAGGUAAUGCAUUGUGCUACAGCAUUACAAUGGCUAUGACAGACACUAGGCAAUAGGAAUUUUCCAGCUCCAUUAUAAUCUUAAGGGACCACCAUGGCACAUGCAGCCCAUUGUUGACCAAAAGUUGUUAUGUGGUGAAUGACUAUAAUUGGCUUUUCAGAGCAACCACUCACAAGGGGGUGUAGUAUAGCUUACUAGACAAAACUGCAGCCGCUGCUCUGUUUUUUGCUCUUAGAAAACUGAGUACCUGAUUUGGACAAAAUCAUAAUAAAAUUUAGAUAGAGCCAACAUUUGUCCUCUGGAAGUUUCUGACAAGAUACAAGUCACCGUUAUAAUAGUCAAAUGUCAAAGUGGUAUAUCUAACAAAAUUAAAACAGACAGCUAGGAGUGAGAAGAUUUAAGAAAAUUCAGGUGGCCCAAAGGAAAGCCAAGACAAGACAUUCUCUCCCGGCCUUUGGGCCUGGAUUUUCAUUUCAGCAGGUAACGAGGAGACCAAAGGCCUAGUUAUUUAUGGAGAUCUGGGGCCACAGCAGAGCUCCUCAUGGCAGGAUAAGGCAGUGGAAAGCAGACUCAACGGUUAACCCACAGUCCUCCUCAGCAAGCUGGGAGAAGCAACUGAUGCCACUUAGAUGCUUAGACCGGGCCUUCUGGGAGAGAUCUGGCCCAAGGAGCAGCCGGCAGCUUGACACAGUGACCAAUUGGAAGCACAGCAGCCACACGCCAUGAAACAAGAGAGCCAGCUGGUGGACCGCAGAGACAGACUUCCAGCCAGGGCCAAGCCCUUCAGGAAGGGAGUCAUGCACCAAACUCAGCUAACAGACCACCAGGGCACCACUGGGUCUCCUGCUGGGGAACAGCACACCUAUGGGUGGGCUCUAGGGGUGGGGUGGCCUGGUUGCUGGUUCUGCUCUGCCACUUCUUAGCUGGACUUGAGCAAUUUGUAACAUUUCUUGGCUCAGUUUCUCCACCUGCACAAUCAAAAUAUCACUACCUUCCUCCAAGAUUGCAUUAAGUGUGACAAUUUAUGUAAAGCACUUAGUCCAGUGCCUGGCACCUAGUAAGUACUGAAUAGUGAAAACAAUUUAAGUCUAACAAAUCCACACACCAUGACGUCAGACAAAUUAGGCAUCUUUCAUUGCUGUUGUGAAAAUUGCGCUAACUCUAAACUCUAACGUACAUCUGGCUCACUGUCUUUCUGUAAGACCAGUCAGAGCAGCAGCUCCUUCCUUGGUAAAAUACUUUAAAAAACUCCCAUUCCUGGCUGGGCACCGGGGCUCACGCCUGUAAUCCCAGUAGAUUGGGAGG